UCGGGAAUUUUGGGCAAUGGGCGAAAGCCUGACCCAGCAACGCCGCGUGAAGGAUGAAGUAUUUCGGUAUGUAAACUUCGAAAGAAUAGGAAGAAUAAAUGACGGUACUAUUUAUAAGGUCCGGCUAACUACGUGCCAGCAGCCGCGGUAAUACGUAGGGACCAAGCGUUGUUCGGAUUUACUGGGCGUAAAGGGCGCGUAGGCGGCUCUGUAAGUCACUUGUGAAAUCUCUGAGCUUAACUCAGAACGGCCAAGUGAUACUGCAGAGCUAGAGUGUAGAAGGGGCAAUCGGAAUUCUUGGUGUAGCGGUGAAAUGCGUAGAUAUCAAGAGGAACACCUGAGGUGAAGACGGGUUGCUGGUCUAACACUGACGCUGAGGCGCGAAAGCCAGGGGAGCAAACGGGAUUAGAUACCCCAGUAGUCCCUGAGCGGGCUGGCAAGGCGCAU
RNAcentral lists this ribosomal RNA (447 nucleotides) under uncultured bacterium. Its description in RNAcentral is "bacterial SSU rRNA". It matches the Rfam family "Bacterial small subunit ribosomal RNA", at positions 355 to 825 of the family's 1533-position model. The record is from RNAcentral.